This is a long non-coding RNA of Megachile rotundata (alfalfa leafcutting bee), 1341 nucleotides long. The record is from RefSeq and is a predicted model, not a curated record. NCBI's taxonomy places the organism in Eukaryota, Metazoa, Arthropoda, Insecta, Hymenoptera, Megachilidae.
GAAGCCUUUGACGAACAGGAGGAGCUCAUACAUCUCGACAAUGAUAACCGAAGGUGGAUGUCGAACAGAAAUCACGCGGAAGAAAAGAGUAUAAAAAUGUUGGGAAAGAAUCGUUGAACGAGCACGAGGAGCAAGACCUACCAAAAAGAGAAAACAAUCGCAGCGUGAAAGAUUACCUAUAGCAGGCGUAAGAGAAACGGCGCAUUUCGAAGCUGUUGAUUCAUUCGCGAGUCUCCGUAACGAAAACACGAGGCAGCCGUGUGUGGAGGAUCCGAGUAAAUUACUGUGUAUCCAGGCUGACCGCGUUAAUCGGCUUUCCCGGUGCGAACGUGAGCCAGUUCGAUCGACGAGAAAUGAGAAGAAGACGAAGCAGCAACAGCGAACGGAACAGAACAGGGUUCGAGUGGAUCGUCGAAGCACGCAGCCGCGGUUUGCAUCGGGAACAUUUAUUCCGGAAAUCCUGUUUGUUGGAAUGAAGCCUUGAAGUUGCCAUCCACUUGCACACCGCCCGCGUUUCCGUCUGCAUCCCGCGGCUCCACUCGCGGCUACAUUUCUUCUUUUCUUUCUUUCGUCGCGAGGUCGCUGGCUUAGCAUUCAACCGGCACGGAAGAAAGUUUAAGUGACUCAUGGAGACACUCUUGAAAUUCACUCCGCGCCGUUACUUAAGUUUCUAUUUUCCCGCUAACGUGGAGGAAGGCGUCGUCGCGUAGCGGAUGUGGCGUCCCAGUGCCGUACUCUUCUGGACACCUCGAUCGAUGGAUCGAGCAUGAAAGUUUAACCGGAGUUCAACAUCCGCGGCGAAAUUACCCCCGGACCACAAAUCACCACGGAAUAUUUUCGAAUUGGUUCCUGCAACGGCGAAGUUACGGUUAACGUAACGUCCCGGAAUCGUUUAAUAAGAGCGAGUUACUCGCGCCUAUAAAUAACUUCUGCGAGGCUAAUAUCCUCGAGAAUCGAGGAUUUCGAUCGUUCGGGGAGAGGCCGGCUACGAGGGACGAUCUAAUAUCCGAGGAAAUAUCUCGAGCAUCGAUUUUUCCGAUAAAAUUCCAAGCCACGUUCCGGUCAACACGAGUGGCCUUUAGAAAAAUGAGCCAAAUGUCGAUCGAACGUUCGAGCGAUCCCGGAGCGUCCUUCGGCAAUCUGCUUCCGUCUGGCGAGCAUUUUCCGAAAGGAUAAUCAGAAUCGGUGAUCCUGUAGCCCCGUGUGCCGAUUACGUGACGGAGGUCCUUUAUCCGCGGAUAAGAAAGCUUGCAGCGUGUCACUACGGAGGGUAACCAGUGACACGGGACUUUCGACCUGUAAAUCGUUCGACCGUCCAAUGGAGUGUUCAAGACGUUGGAA